Molecule: ribosomal RNA, 391 nt
Filed under: uncultured bacterium
Lineage: Bacteria
Description: bacterial SSU rRNA
Rfam family: Bacterial small subunit ribosomal RNA
Source: RNAcentral
GACGAACGCUGGCGGCGUGCCUAACACAUGCAAGUGGAGCGACGAACCAGGCUUCGGCCUGGAGCAAAGCCGCGAACGGGUGAGUAACACGUGGGUAACCUGCCCCGAUGAUCGGGACAACCCGGGGAAACCCGGGCUAAUACCGAAUAAGCUCGCAGCUCAUGAGGGCUGUGAGGAAAGGAAGCUUCGGCCUCCGUAUCGGGAGGGGCCCGCGGCCCAUUAGCUCGUUGGUGGGGUAACGGCCUACCAAGGCUCCGAUGGGUAGCUGGUCUGAGAGGACGAUCAGCCACACUGGGACUGAGACACGGCCCAGACUCCUACGGGAGGCAGCAGUGGGGAAUCUUGCGCAAUGCGCGAAAGCGUGACGCAGCAACGCCGCGUGCGGGAAGAC